Molecule: ribosomal RNA, 252 nt
Filed under: uncultured bacterium
Lineage: Bacteria
Description: partial 16S ribosomal RNA
Rfam family: Bacterial small subunit ribosomal RNA
Source: RNAcentral
UACGGAGGAUGCGAGCGUUAUCCGGAUUUAUUGGGUUUAAAGGGUGCGCAGGCGGCACGGCAAGCCGGCGGUCAAAUCGCGGGGCUCAACCACGCCCAGCCGUCGGAACUGCCGGGCUAGAGUGGGCGAGAAGUGCGCGGAAUGCGUGGUGUAGCGGUGAAAUGCAUAGAUAUCACGCAGAACUCCGAUUGCGAAGGCAGCGCACCGGCGCCCUACUGACGCUCAGGCACGAAAGCGUGGGUAUCGAACAGG